CACUCUUGUAGUCUGCUUAGGUCUGAUCAACCUAACCCACACAUUCCUCUGCAUGCUUGUCUACGAGGGCCUCCCGCACAUUCAAGUUCAUACUGCUCAGGAGCAGUGAGCUUGGAGUGUUCCUUUUAUCUUGAUCUCCCUCUGACAAAGAAAUCCAGAUGACACAGAAACCACUGAAGACAAUACCUGGAAAAUGGCAGUCUUGGAAAUAACUUUGGCUGUCAUCCUGACUCUACUGGGACUUGCCAUUCUGGCUAUUUUAUUAACAAGAUGGACGCGGCGCAAGCAAAACGAAAUUGAUGUCUCAAGAUACAGUUCAGAACAAAGUGCUGGUCUUCUGGACUAUGAGGAUGGUAGAGGUAAAUAG
This 367-nucleotide long non-coding RNA is filed under the name Ailuropoda melanoleuca (giant panda). RNAcentral's name for it is "lncRNA (ENSAMEG00000025173.1)". Lineage: Eukaryota; Metazoa; Chordata; Mammalia; Carnivora; Ursidae. The record is from RNAcentral.